This 253-nucleotide ribosomal RNA is filed under the name uncultured bacterium. RNAcentral's name for it is "partial 16S ribosomal RNA". It matches the Rfam family "Bacterial small subunit ribosomal RNA", at positions 524 to 776 of the family's 1533-position model. The record is from RNAcentral.
UACGAGGGGGGCGAGCGUUGUUCGGAAUUAUUGGGCGUAAAGGGUGCGUAGGCGGUUUGGUAAGUCUGAUGUGAAAUCUAUGGGCUCAACUCAUAGUCUGCAUCGGAAACUGCCGUGCUGGAGUGUGGGAGAGGUGAGUGGAAUUCCCGGUGUAGCGGUGAAAUGCGUAGAUAUCGUUUGGAACGCCAAUGGUGAAAACAGGUAACUGGGAGUGUGCCGACGCUGAGACACGAAAGCCAGGGGAGCGAACGGG